UCUUUUGCUGACGAGUGGCGCACGGGUGAGUAAUAUAUAGGUAACGUGCCUCUUAGUCUGGGAUAGCCAUUGGAAACGAUGAUUAAUACUAGAUACUCCUUCUCAUUAUAAUUUGAGUCGGGAAAGUUUUUCGCUAAGAGAUCGGCCUAUAUCCCAUCAGUUAGUUGGUAAGGUAACGGCUUACCAAGGCAAUGACGGGUAGCGGGUUUGAGAGGAUGAUCCGCCACACUGGUACUGAGACACGGACCAGACUCCUACGGGAGGCAGCAGUGAGGAAUAUUGCACAAUGGAGGAAACUCUGAUGCAGCAACGCCGCGUGGAGGAUGACGCAUUUCGGUGUGUAAACUCCUUUUAUAAGGGAAGAAAAUGACGGUACCUUAUGAAUAAGCACCGGCUAACUCCGUGCCAGCAGCCGCGGUAAUACGGAGGGUGCAAGCGUUACUCGGAAUCACUGGGCGUAAAGGACACGUAGGCGGGUUGUCAAGUCAGGUGUGAAAUCCUACAGCUUAACUGUAGAACUGCACUUGAAACUGGCAACCUAGAGUAUGGGAGGGGGAGAUGGAAUUAGUGGUGUAGGGGUAAAAUCCGUAGAUAUCACUAGGAAUACCGAAAGCGAAGGCGAUCUCCUGGAACAUUACUGACGCUAAGGUGUGAAAGCGUGGGGAGCAAACGGGAUUAGAUACCCCGGGUAGUCCACGCCCCAAAACGAUGAACACUAGUCGUCGGGAUGCUAGUCAUCUUCGGGUGAUGCACCUUAACAGAUUAAAGUGUUCC
This 774-nucleotide ribosomal RNA is filed under the name uncultured bacterium. Its description in RNAcentral is "bacterial SSU rRNA". It matches the Rfam family "Bacterial small subunit ribosomal RNA", at positions 80 to 870 of the family's 1533-position model. The record is from RNAcentral.